UCCCAGGUGGCUGAAUGGGUAAAGAACCUGCCUUCAAUGCAGGAGGCACAACAGAGGCAGGUUUGAUCCCUGGGUUGGGAA
This 81-nucleotide transfer RNA is filed under the name Ovis aries (sheep). It matches the Rfam family "tRNA". From Rfam's summary of the family: Transfer RNA (tRNA) molecules are approximately 80 nucleotides in length. Their secondary structure includes four short double-helical elements and three loops (D, anti-codon, and T loops). Further hydrogen bonds mediate the characteristic L-shaped molecular structure. tRNAs have two regions of fundamental functional importance: the anti-codon, which is responsible for specific mRNA codon recognition, and the 3' end, to which the tRNAs corresponding amino acid is attached (by aminoacyl-tRNA synthetases). tRNAs cope with the degeneracy of the genetic code in two manners: having more than one tRNA (with a specific anti-codon) for a particular amino acid; and 'wobble' base-pairing, i.e. permitting non-standard base-pairing at the 3rd anti-codon position. The record is from Rfam by way of RNAcentral. Lineage: Eukaryota; Metazoa; Chordata; Mammalia; Artiodactyla; Bovidae.